This 1599-nucleotide long non-coding RNA is filed under the name Pongo abelii (Sumatran orangutan). RNAcentral describes it as "lincRNA". Lineage: Eukaryota; Metazoa; Chordata; Mammalia; Primates; Hominidae. The record is from RNAcentral.
CGGUUUUUCAGCGGGGAGGCGAGGUGGAGUGGAGGGUUGGCCGCUCCGCCUCACUGAGCUGGCUCAGCCAGCGCAGGUGUUCCUGGAACGCCAGUCCCUUAGGAUGGGAGAGAGUGAAGAAGGCAAAGAGAAUAAAACAGACUGAAUGGGAAAGAGACUGAAUAGAUUCUAAUAUGGCUACAUCCUGGUGGGAGGCAGGACACUGAAGUACUUAGAAUCCCUCAGAAUGGCCAGAUCCUGUUCAUGCUUGGGCUAGAAGAAUGGAACCUUUGUAAUUCCGGACUUGUAAAUGGAAACACAUCACUUGCUGUGAACCACAUCCCAGACAGACAUGGGCAGGUGAAAAGAAAUUCUUCCAGAUGGCCUGACAGCACCUGUCUACAGUACAGUAUCGAGGCACACAGACCUUGGAUAUAAAAGAGAAUAUUACAAAUACUGCAGAGACACGAGGAUUAGCUGUUUGUUUGUUUAAGGGCAUAACAUCCAGAAGAAAUGGUUAGUAGUAUUUCUUUACUGCUUGAGUACAUUUGAUCAUCAGAUGGCCGAUCAUAUAAUUGGGUUUAUUCAAGAAUAUUUUUUUUCUGUAAAAUAUAAAGUGAAUAACUUAUCUAAUUUUGAUAACUGAAAGCCCAGGAAGCAGCAGCUUAAACCAUAAGAGCAUAUACUGUUUAUCUGAAGAGAGAGAAGGUGGUUCCAAGUGUUCUCCAAAGCCCCAUGAUGUCAGGACGUGGGUCAGCAUCUCUACGGCUCUCCUGCCUCUCUCUCGUGGGUGCAAAGUGGCUUCUCACAUCUCAACAUGCCAAGGCGGGAAGCAGGGAUACAAGGGCAAGGAAAGAGCUAAUCUCUUCUACAGAGAAGGAAACAUCGUUCCCACAAGCCUGGCACCCUGCCCUUCACUCUCCAUGUGAUGGGACCACAGGCCCCCUCCCAGCUGCAGAAUGUUUGGGAAGAGGGUGCCUGGUUCUCUGGCCUCUGUAGCUGGACACAGGCACUGGAGAAAGAGAUGGGAAUGGCCGAUGGGUAGCCAUUUCUAUCGUGAUACAGUCAAAUAACAGGACUUUUAAAAGGAAAUAAUUUCUUGAGAAUAGCAGAGCACACCACUAUGCUUGAAUAAAAAUAAAUGGUAACUGGAUUUCCUGAACUGUUAAAUUAAACAUGCAUUGCUGAUUUCCUCUUUCUGCAGCUGCUCUGCUUCUAACUAUCCAUCUCUUCUGUCUGUGGCUCAAGAUCCAUCAUCUUCAAAUAUAAAAUCCUUCUUAUGGUUUUAUUUGUCCUUUGUUUGCUGGUCUCUCCUUGCCUGCGUUCAAUAUUUUUGGCUUUCUUCCCUUGCUUUGCUGGGACGUGUGAUUUAUCCUAUCACCGGAGAUCUCUGUGAGAAAGCACUGGAUAUUUAUUUGCCUGCAUAUGUCAGAAGCUCCAGGCAGGGCUGCCUCAUCCCACAACUUCAGGGGAGCCAUUCAUUUCCAUGUGCCUUGCACAGCCUGUGUGGCCACAAGUGGCAGCACUGGAUCUGGGCAGCAGAGAAAUGGUUUCACUGGAAAAGACACAGUUUUAAAUUCUCCUUUCCAAUAUAAAUCUAUUUUCAGCAUUAUCACUCCC